UGGUUCGUAUUCGCUGAGCA
This 20-nucleotide small nuclear RNA is filed under the name Arabidopsis thaliana (thale cress). Its description in RNAcentral is "snRNA_08162". The record is from RNAcentral. Lineage: Eukaryota; Viridiplantae; Streptophyta; Magnoliopsida; Brassicales; Brassicaceae.